CCUGAAAGAGGAGAAGGCCUCCAGCUCCAAAACCGCGGAUCCAUGUGACUGCAGUUCCCUGCUCCAUCUUCCUCAAGACCCACCUCAUACCUGGGCCUGUCACUCCAGUCCCGCCCCCCAGACUCCCUUCUGAAUCCCUGCCCCUUCCCAAUCAGCGCUGCCCCACACCUAAACACCACCCCAAGCAAGUCUCUUCCAUCCUAAACCAGCCACUUUUUGCCCCGCCCCAGGAUCCGCCCCGUUCCCAGACCCCGCCCUCCCCAGGCACUUGGACAGUUAGGACCCGCCCCAAGACUCAUACCCAACAACCAAGCCAGCAGCGAGUGUGGGUACUGCACCAGAUACUGCAUGUAGCCGCACAGUUGGGUUGGAUGUGUCUGGCCACUGUCUCUCACUUCGUCCCGCCUUCAUCUGGCCCUGACUCUCUCUGCCCCUGGCUGUCCCGCCAGCCUGGAAUUCAGCCCUCACCCAGCCCCAACCCCUGUUGCAAGCUCACGACAAGAAGAAGCUGGCUUUGCUUUUGGAUGUGCUGAGAAUUUGAAGGCAUGCAAAAGCUGGACCGGCCAAACUUUCGAACUGGAAGCCCUGUACGGGAGAAAGCAGCCCUAAGGGAAUCCAUCCACGCGGGUCCAGGCUUAUGAAGCUGCGCCUGGUUUGGAAGAGGCAGGACCCAGCAAGGUUCCGGAAACAAGCAUCGCUCCCACUCACAGAUGAGGAGGAGGGGGCCAAGGCAGACAGUUCUUCCUGGACUCCUUACCUCUUUGUGAACCUGGGUCAUGAUUUCUGAAAAAUCCUUCAUAUUAGGAGGUCCCUGCAGGGGUGAAUAGAGGGAUUCAGAGAAAUUCAGGGUCCGCCAUUGCCUACCCAGAGAUUGGGAAUACAACUCUCAGCUUUGUCCAUUACUUUAGCAAACAGGGACCCGACGAGUCUUGUCAGCCAGAGUUGGGCAGUUGGGCUUCUGGUUCACCCAGGGCUGGAGGAAGGAUGGGCGUGACCUGAGGCAGGGCCCCAUGGGUGUGUGUUAUCUGGCCACCACUGAGUCUCCAGGACCAGGCUGUGAGUUCAAGCCUGCUACACUUGAUCUCUCGAACACUCAUCCCAGCAAAAGGAAAGGCCCUUGAAGCCAAGUGAUCUGCCAGGGGUAGCCUGGGAGAGCCAGACUGGAGAAGGCUGACUGGGGAAGGUGACCUCUGAGGGGAAAUCUGAAGGGAGAUGGAUUGGAGAAGCAGGGUCCUCAGCACUGGUAGCCAGGGGCAGGGUGAGAGGGUUCAAGUGUUUGGAGCCAAGAAGUGUGUGGCUGAGACUGGACCACCAGCCGGGCUGCCAACAGUAUCUUCAGACUGAACUCAGUCCCAGUGAGCCACAGGAGAGUUUUUGCAGGUCUAGGCAAUUUCUUCCACAUACGGUGGUUGGACUGUGUACACGUGUGCACACACAGACAACAUACAGGCUCACCAGCCUACUGGAUUGCUGAGCUGGCAGUUAGGUGACCCUUUCUGCUGAGCCAGCAUGGGCUCCAGCCUGACAGGCUCCAGGGAGGAUGGGCUGGGUUAGGCAGGGUGGGGGUGGGGGACCCUUCUUAACCAUACAAGCUGGCAGGGCCCAGGUUCUCAGCAACCAGGGGGUAGUAACCCCUCUACCCAUUAUAUAGAUAGGAGUACUGAGACCUAGGGAUAGAGAGGCCCGCCUGAAGCACACACCCACCACCUGAAGCAGGGAGUCGCUCACACCUCCUAGGCUUUCCAGCUUCCCAGCCCAGAAAUUCUGCCUCCUGACAAUUCCUGCCUCCCUCUUUUUGGUAGGUCCCUUUGACCCCUAGAGUCACAGUGUUAGUGAGACAGAUAGCCAGCGGGGUCUCCCUCCCUCUUGGAGUCUGAGUCUUGUGGGAUGGACUGGCCAUUCACCUUGGGCGGGUUGUCUUUGGAGACCUGGGAGGCAGCCCACAGCCCAUAUUGGAUCAUUUGUGUUAUUUUGAAAAAUCAUGCAUCUCGAACAGGCCGAUUCUGUUCCGCCUGUCUGGAAAGCCAAGCCACAAGUAGCUGAAGUGACCCACUGAGGCAACCACCCUGUUUACAACCUCCAGGGAAGCAGCGAGUGUGGGUACUGCACCAGAUACUGCAUGUAGCCGCACAGUUGGGUGAGGAGCACCUGCACUUCGUGACGUGUACCCCCCAGUUGUAUAAGUUGUGUAAGUCUGGAACACGGGUUUGAAUCCUGGGCUGCUAAGAAUUUGGGCAAGGGGCAGUCCUAAGGACCCCCUUCUUCCAAACCUGGCCCUGAAUGGAGGAAAAGGACCAUGUGACUCACCCAGGUAAAUGGUCUUUCCCUCAAAGUUGAGGUCCUUCAGCACCAGGAGAAGGGGGCUGACCUCGGGGACUGGCUCCACCCAGCGGCUUAAAGCACAGGCUUUGAUGUCAUACCUGAGGGGUAGGCACACACAGAGACCAUUGGAAGCAAAUCUACCCAGAUGUGACUGUUCCUGUGUGUGUUAAAUCACGAUGGACGACAACUCCAAACCUCAGCACACCCCUAGACAGGGUUUCUCUGUGUAGCUUUGGAACCUGUCCUGGAACUCGCUUUGUAGACCAGGUUGGUCUCGAACUCACAGAGUUCCGUCUGCCUCUGAACUGGGAUUAAAGACAUGCGACACCACCAUCCGGCUAACCCCACGCAUUUUAAAGAGAAGUGUCUCCCUCCUACUGGAACUUGGGAGGAUCUGUUCUCGCUGAGCCUAUUCGGCGGUCUAAAGGCAAAGUUUCGGGGCCUCAGACUGUGCUUUCCCUGUGGAGCCGGAACCCUGUAUCCCUUCCAGAGGGACUCAGCUCUCAGAGAUGCGGCUGACAGGGUAGAAGAUAUUCUCCAUGACGAUGAAGUAUCUCUGGGGACAGGAGGGGGCAGUGAGGGAAGCGCAGGACCUCAGCCUCCAGCAGCCCCCACUACCGAGCCACCUCGCCUCCGCCACACUCACCUUUGCCUGUGGAGCCGGAACCCUGUAUCCGUUCCAGAGGGACUCAGCUCUCAGAUGCGGCUGACAGGGUAGAAGACGCUCUCCAUGACUAUGAAGUAUCUCUGGGGACAGGAGGGGGCAGUGAGGGAAGCGCAGGACCUCACCCUCCAGAUUUAGAGAUCUGCCUGCCCUCUGCCUCCUGAGUGCUGGGAGUAAAGCUUGGGCCACCACUGCCCAGCUAUUGAAUACUUAAUAUUUAAAGAGAUAACAAUAAACUGUAAAUAUAACUAGUUAGAAAACAAGGAUGGGAUUUGGGCCAUAUGCUUUGUUUAUAGUUCCUUGUCUUUGUUUCUCUAUGUGUAGCCCAACUGUCCUGGAACUCUCUCUGUAGACCAAGCUGGUCUCAAACUCUCAGAGAUCCUCCUGUCUCCACCUCCUGAGUGCUGGGAUUAAAGGUGUGUGUUACCACUGCCCGGCUUCUCUUGCAUUUCUAACACUUGUAGCCCAACCCAGAGAACAACAAUUAAAUGAGAAAACAGCUCACAACA
Long non-coding RNA from Mesocricetus auratus (golden hamster), 3495 nucleotides. RefSeq lists it as uncharacterized. The record is from RefSeq and is a predicted model, not a curated record. NCBI's taxonomy places the organism in Eukaryota, Metazoa, Chordata, Mammalia, Rodentia, Cricetidae. The transcript is spliced from 3 exons.